Molecule: long non-coding RNA, 5107 nt
Organism: Sparus aurata (gilthead seabream)
Lineage: Eukaryota; Metazoa; Chordata; Actinopteri; Spariformes; Sparidae
Source: Ensembl
GUUCACUUGUGGUGCAGCGCAGGUAAAGGCAGCAGUCGGGCGCCCAGCCAGCUGACCCGAUAAGUCCCACACUUUCCAGCCGAGGAGGGAAAGUAUUUUUAAGUCGGUUAGAUGCUUCGAAUGUGUUUGGAAAUUCCGGGGGUGAGAUCAUUUGUGAGGGCCGAAAGGCGAGGGGGGCCGGGGCGGCGGCGGCGGGGGGGGGGGAAAGAGUACAUAAAGUAAAUCAGAAAGCGAAAGUAAAAUUCACAGACAGAGGAUGAGUGCGCCACACACUCUGAGCAGAGCAGCGCCGGCAUCGGAUCAGCACGUGUGAGUCUGGAUGGUCACAGUGGCAGCAUGACAUCAUGGAAACGCAAAGCCCGACUCUUUCUCCUAGUGCUCCUGAGCACGAUCGACCUGUCAUAUGGGGGAUGUGCGGAAUACCUCAAAGUGGACGCAUGGGGAGGAAACCUGACACAGUUCUUCACCCUCGUUGAAACAGAUGAUCCCAAGGACAUAGCGGAGUGUACUUUGGAGAAAGAAGCUGUAGAAAACAAUACGAAUGCAUGGUUCAUACUUCGAGACUGCUUCAAGAAAGAAAUAAGGAAGGUCAUACCCAGUGAAAAGUGUAAAAGGAACACUUCUGGGACUAUCCCUUUCUAUAAUUUCAUGUGCUUGACGAUUGCAACUAUCAACCGCAAAUAUCAAGGUGCCAACAUCGAAGAUAAACACUGCGAGUAUGAUAUUACAUGCAAGCUCCUUUCAGGAGGACCAUCUACAGCGACACCAACAACACUGCCAGAAAGAACAGAGGUGACACCCACAUGGACAACAACAGAACUACCACCAACAACAACAAACUUCACACAGAUCACUGCAACACCAACAACACUGCCAGAAAGAACAGAGGUGACACCCACAUGGACAACAACAGAACUACCACCAACAACAAACUUCACACAGAUCACUGGGUUAAAUAGAUCAACAACAUUGCCGCUAACAACAACACAGCCAAAAAGAACAACAUCAGCAACUAGACUGGUGACACCCACAAUGACACCAACACCAGAAGUGACACCAUCAACCCCAUCCACAGACUUGGUCAAGGUAGAAAAUCCUCUCGCCAAUGUAAAAGAAAAUCCUCUCACCAAUGAAAAAGAAAACUUAGCCCUGAAGAUAUUUUCAGUGAUAUCCGCAGCCCUCAAUAUGGCCGCGCUCAUGGUGUUUCUUUAUCAACGCAAGAGAAACACGGGGUUCAGUCACGAGCCAGUUGCAACCUAUAUGUCGGAUGGAGCCUCAUUAGAAGCUCAACGAAUGACAGAGUUGUGCACAGUGAGGGCAACUGUAAACGGGCAUGUAGUGGAGACCACACAUUUAAUAAAGACACCUGAGUCGGAUUCCAUCUCCACACAUUCACCGCCCAUACCGAAUGGCUGUCAUGUUGGAAAUGAAGAGUAGGAGUUUCUGGCAGAACUUAACCUACCUACGAGGUGCAUGAAAGAGAAGGUGAAAUCGUGCAUUUAGGACUCAUAACGCUGCCUCUGUAUAUUCUUGAUACAACAAAGCUAUUGAAUGUGUCAAAGCUUCAGGGUGCCAGGAGGAUGAGCUCUACACUGGCUGGCAACAGGACAGGGGACCUGCAUGACUGUGGUUUGCAGUAACUUGGGGCCAUCAUUAAGGAGGAUAAACUAACAAGUGAAGCUUCACUUCAGAUGUGAAGAGGAGUGAGAGAGAUCAAGCUGCAGCAUGCCACUUCACUCGGCGCUUCAUUCUUAUCUCAUCAGGAUGAAGUAUUGCAUUACCCCAGCGCAGCAUAAAAGAGAAGUUAAGUGCAACGUCAGCCCGAUGAAUAUAGGGUUGUGCUACUUUUUAUUUGUUUCAAUCACACGCUUGUUUUCACCAGCCCAACAGAGUUACUCGGACAGAAAUGUUGGUUCAGAGAUUAUUAGGAGGGUUUCUUUCUUUUCUCUAUUCGUUUAUGUAUAAUGCACGAAAGCAAUUAUGGUGUAAUAUAAUUGUUUGAUAUAUAGAGGCAGCAUUACCAGUUAGGACGCCUGCCUGUUGUUGGGAUCCACAGAACAUUCACACUUCUCAACAUGGAGGGAGUCUGUAAAUUUGCAUGCAGUUAUCGUGUUACAUUUCUUAUACGGCAUGAUAUACGAGCUAUGAAUAACAAGACACAUUACAGUCUGAAUGUCCACAUUGAUAAUGUCUGUGCACUCACUCACUUCUGGGAUUCAAACGUCCACAUACACAAUCAAAUGUGUGCAUGUCUUCUUUAGCUUUAUAAAUCACCGCUAUUGCCAUACGCAAACGUUUGAGUGGUGGUGAAAACAAUGCUGACUGUAUGACUCGGGGUUUCCUGUCUGUAGUAGACAGAGCAGCUGUUUCUCAAGUAAUCCAGGCACUAGACCCCGUAAAGAGCACUUGUGUUCAUUGGUAGCUCAGUUUUUGGUAUUUUUUUUAUUGCAUGCUCUGAGUUUGAUGAAGAUACAGUUGACAUGCUAGUCAUGCACCUAGCAAGACAGAUGCAUAGAUGAGAUGCAGCUAUGGCUGAGUUUUGGAGACAUAAUAAUAUAUUUUUGAAUGUAUUAGCCUUAGGGAGUGAGCGAGAGUGCUAUGUUAAGCUACUGUCCAGUAUUAAAAUGUAAAAAGGCACAAAUCAGCUUAACAUCAAAACCAGUUUUUCAGUAGCUAAGAAACAUAACGACAAUUUAUGUGAAAAGGUAUUUAAAAACUUUGUAAUUCUGGAAAGGUUCUCAUUAAUACAGGCAUCAAACAAGGAGGUUCUAUGUUAUAUUGUUAACAGAGGAUCAACCAUAAUGUACUUAUACUUUGUGGACAUGUUUUAGAUUGCUCUCAAAUAUACCCAAUCUAACACACACCUAAACCUGUUUCCGCCAUCCAAAGAUAUUAUAUAAUACCAUAAUAAUAACAUUUACAAAAGGGCCAGUUUGUUGAUAAUUAAUGAAAAUACAGGCUGUUCUGUUUUCAUUACCUUUGAAGGAGCCUCUUACAUCUCCAGCGGGAGCAGAUCCUCCUGGUGCAACAUGUUUUACACAGCAACAGAGUUUUGUACAGUAGCCCACAACUGACAAGCCAAACCCUGGCUCCAGAGUUUUUUUCAAAACACUUUGUGAGAUGAGAUGUAUUCAUUUGAUCAUGAUCUAUAACCUCACCCCUAGAUGCCUCUAAAUCCUGGACGUGUCCUUUAGUAAUCCUAAAAUAACCGCAUUACAUUUUGUGUUACACCCCAUUUGAUUCUCAUUAUUUUUGGAAUAAUGUGGGAUCACAGUCUUGCCCGGCUUGCCUUGGGCUCUUUAUGGUGUUUAAGUGCAUUUUAUCCAGGUUUAAGCAUAAACGAUAAAAGUGUGAUGCUCUGCUUUUAUAUUUUUUUAAUCACUUGGUUUAUUUAUGGUGUUUUUAACAGAAAGGAUUGCCACAGUGUGUCUCGCUCUCUGUGUAUACAAGGAUUUUUUUUAUACACAUAGCUAGGAUUGAUGUACUUGUGCAUACUGUUUAGUUGUGGAUAAAAUGAAGUGUGAGAGGCAGAGCUGCCCUGGUGGCAGCACUGUUCUCAUUGGCUGAAAUUAAGCUCAAUGGGUGGAUCCUGUACGGAAGAAUGAAGGUUGUAAAUUACCAAAAGAAUCACUAAAUUUCAAAAGUCACUUCAUUCAAAAUUGGCGAGUUACCUAGCUUCCACUCUCUGCACUGAUCCACGAAGGUUUAACUGUGUGAACUGUUAACGUUUGUUGUAAUUGUUCCAUGUGACCAAUUCUGCAUAUCAAGAGUUACUGCAUAUAUCCACAUGAAAGACGAAAUGUUUUCCUACUCAUAGAUUCAGAGUCAACUUUGGGAGGAAAGAUCUGUGCAUAUUUUUUCAUUUGGCAUUAUUAUUAUUAUACACCGAUCAGGCGGGACAUUAUGACCACCUGUGUUGGUCCCGCUUUUGCUGCCAAAACAGCCCUGACCUGUUGGGGCAUGGACUCCACUAGACUCCUGAAGGUGUGCUGUGUUAUCUGGCUCCAAGAUGUUAGCAGCAGAUCCUUUAAGUCCUGUAAGUUUCGAGGUGGGACCUCCGUGGAUCGGACUUGUUUGUCCAGCACAUCCAACAGAUGCUUGCUUGGGAAUUUGGAGACCAAGUCAACACCUCAAAUUCACUGUUGGGCUCCUCAAACCAUUCCUGAACAAUUAUUGCUUUGUGGCACUUCACAUUAUCCUGCUAAAAAAGAGGCCACAGCCAUCAGGGAAUACCGUUUCCAUUAAAGGGUGUACAUGGUCUGCAACAAUGCUUAGGUAGGUGGUACGUGUCAAGGUAACAUCCACAUGGAUGGCAGGACCCAAGGUUUCCCAGCAGAACAUUGCCCAAAACAUCACACUGCCUCCGCUGGCUUGCUUUCUUCCCAUAGUGCAUCCUGGUGCCAUGUGUCCCACAGCUAAGCGACACAGAUGCACCCGGCCAUCCAAGUGGUGUGAAAAUCAAAAAAAACAUGAUUCAUCAGACCAGGCGUCCGUCUUACAUUGCUCCAUACUGACCACUGCAGACCGGGAACACCCCAAAAGAGCUGCAGUUUUGGAGAUGCUCUGACCCAGUCGUCUAGCCAUCACAAUUUGGCCCUUGUCUUAUUGCUCAAAUCCCUACGCUUGCCCAUUUUUCCUGCGUCCAACACUUCAACUUUGAAGGAAACAUGUUCACUUGCUGGCUUAUAUAUCCCACCUUCUAACAGGUGCCAUGAUGCAGAUAAUCAGUGUUAUUCACUUCACCUGUCAGUGGUCAUAAUGUUAUACCUGAUCGGUGUAUUUCAGAGAUAAAAAUGGAUUCCCCAUCAUCAUGUUUUGAACAGUACACUAAACAUCUAAGCUGUGCUUGGGCACUGUUUGCAUUAUUUAAUGCAUGCUGCAUUUUUUUUUUUUUAAAUGUAUGUAUAUUGUAAUGUGAAGAAAUAUUCUGAUGUUAAACAUUAUGUGUAAAGUGUAAUGUGAUUGCAAACUUCCUCAGAUUAUUCUGACAUAAUAUGAAUAUAAAUCUGUGAAUAAAGCCUCAUAUGUUCAGAUUUUUUGCUGGUUUUGUUUGUUAGUGAACUCAUUUUCUAAAAUGUGAAACAACUUAAAACAACUCAAAUCAUCC